GGGUCCCUAGCUCAACUGGCAGAGCACCGGGCUUUUAACCCGUUGGUUGUGGGUUCGAGUCCCACGGGACCCACCA
RNAcentral lists this transfer RNA (76 nucleotides) under Acidobacteriota bacterium. Its description in RNAcentral is "Acidobacteria bacterium tRNA-Lys". It matches the Rfam family "tRNA". Rfam says of the family: Transfer RNA (tRNA) molecules are approximately 80 nucleotides in length. Their secondary structure includes four short double-helical elements and three loops (D, anti-codon, and T loops). RNAcentral also lists the same sequence under 3 other names. Lineage: Bacteria; Pseudomonadati; Acidobacteriota. The record is from RNAcentral.